CCCACUCCAGUACUCUUGCCUGGAAAAUCCCAUGGACGGAGGAGCCUGGUAGGCUGCAGUCCAUGGAGUCGCGACUGAGCGACUUCACUGUCACUUUUCACUUUCAUGUAUUGGAGAAGGAAAUGGCAACCCACUCCAGUGUUCUUGCCUGGAGAAUCCCAGGGAUGGCGGAGCCUGGUGGGCUGCCGUCUAUGGGGUCGCACAGAGUCAGACACGACUGAAGCGACUUAGCAGCAGCCGCAGCAGCCCUGCAGAGAAAGGAUGGCAGUGACUUUGUGGGUCUGCUCUCCAUCCCCCACUAAGCCUGCAUGAAAUGUCCCAGCUCCAAACGCAGCUUACACUUGACAGGGAGAACAACACUGGCAUCACGGGCCUCACCUCAGUCUUCGCCUCAACGACUCAUCAGUGUGUCCCUCAUCUGCACAACUCUGGCCCCUUUUUAUUUGGCCUCUAAAACCCCCAGAGCUCACCAUGCUGAAUAGCCCAGAUGCGGCCCUGAGGCUUUGUGUCGGCAGCAGGGCUAAGACGUCCUCCUCUGAGGACUGCCCCAGGGCCUGGCCAUCAGCCUGGGGAGCAGCCUGUUGGGGAUUUUCUCGCCGGGACUUGGAAAUGACGAACCUGAAAGAACAACACUUGGACAGUCUCUCGCAAGGACUGACAAGUUUAUUUCUGCAGUCAAGCCUUUUUUAUAGAAGCAGGAACAAAGAGCUUAGAGUAUACGGCCAGCAGAGCACGUACAGGGUUAAGACAUAAUCAGUAAAAGAUAUUUCAAGGACAGCGCGUUCUAAAUGACCCAUGUGUUUAUCCCAAUGACCCUUUUUCUCAAGCAACAUCC
Molecule: long non-coding RNA, 835 nt
Organism: Bos taurus (domestic cattle)
Lineage: Eukaryota; Metazoa; Chordata; Mammalia; Artiodactyla; Bovidae
Source: Ensembl